This 1253-nucleotide long non-coding RNA is filed under the name Ananas comosus (pineapple). Its description in RNAcentral is "long non-coding RNA (ACOM_LNC006835)". The record is from RNAcentral. Lineage: Eukaryota; Viridiplantae; Streptophyta; Magnoliopsida; Poales; Bromeliaceae.
AAUGGCUGCUGGUACCCAAAAUUUUAUUCGAAUCUGAACUGAAUUCGAACGGAGCUGAUUUAUUUGAUAUUAAAUAGAUAUGGUUUCGAAUAUAGAUAUCAAAAAUAAAAAUCCGACGGAUAUAAAUUUGGAUAUGAAUUUUGAUUAUACCCGAUCCAAACUCGAACUUGAACCCGAAUUUAUUUUUACAUUAUAUAUAACAUGUAUAUAAAAAUUUGAUAUUAUAUUUGAAUUUAUAUUUUAAAAAUUUAAUUUAAUAUAAUAUAUUUUGAAAUAUUGAAAAGAAAAAUAAUUAUUUCGGGUUCGAAUUUUUGGGUUCGGAUUCGGAUUCGGAUUUUGGAUUUUUGGCCGGGUUUGGAUUUUUAGAAAUCCAACCCAUUGACAUCCCUAUCUACUGUCCAUUCCUAGACCCCAUGAAUCCCCUCUCCGUCGAUCGGACGGUCUAUAGUACACGUCCGCAUGCGCCACCGCACUGACCCGGUUAAAAAGCCCAAACCUAUUCUUUGAUGCUUCACUCUUCGCACCUCUUCUUCUAAAGAAAGUUUGCAGUAUCACACUUACACCACAUCAUCAGUGACAAAUCAAUCAUAUCUCUUUUUAUGAAAAAAAAAAGUUCAGCAAUCUAUUACCAAUUGAUGGGAUAGUUGAACCUCAAGGGAACAAUCUUAUUGGGGAUGCCACGUCAUUAAUAUAACUAGUUCAUUUUAGAAUUUUCCUUCUCCUAUGCACUCCUCCUCCUCCUCCCUAUAUAUAGUUAGGAAUGAAUAAGAAAUAAAAAAUAACGCUUCAAAUAAUCUGAAUUUUGACUAAAUUAUAAAUUACGAUCUCAAAUUCUAAAAGUUGAAAUUUAGUUUAUGAGCAAUAAUUUAUUGCAAUUCAUCACACAGAUUCGCUGUCCGUUAAUUUACACAUACGUCUGUUACAAAAAUUAAUUAGACAUUCAACUAAUCACUACAACAGAAUUAGGUUAUAGGGACACAUGUUUGGAACACUUUUGAGUAAGUGUCCCAUUUAUCCUAAAACUUAAAAAAACAUCUAGUAAUGCCUAAAUAUAAAGCCCAAUCCAACCAAAAAUAAAAGAUUACUCUACUCAACCCACCACACCCAGUCCAUUUGGCCCGAUUACAAACAGAAAAGAAAAAAAAAAAAGAAAAAUUAAUUACCAUCUUUUCUUCUCUCUUCACUCAAUCCACUAAAAUUCUAGACGAAGAGCCUUUCCUGUUGUCCUCCUCCGCCACCGCAGCCAACGAGAU